GCAUCACAAGGCAUCAUCACUGAUCUUGGAAUGAGCAGCAACCAUUUCUUCCUUCCAGUGUCUGAGCCGUAAAAAUGAGAUAUACUCAGAAACUGUGUCAAAGUAGAUGGAAUUUUCUGAGCAUUCUUUGGGCCAUCUGGGAUAAAAAAACAUAUCUCUUUGGUCUUGAUGACUGACAAGGAUUUCUGGAUUUCUUCACAUUUGUUAACAUUAUUUUGUUCUUCUUCCUCUCUUUCUUAUAAUCAUCAACUGCAUGGAAAGAGUGUAUAAAACGCAGUAUAUGGUCACAUCAAAUGAAACACACUGUAUUAGUAUUCAGAAAUACCUAUCUUAACAAAAUCUUACCCAGGCCAACUCAUCACUGUGGCUUGACACUGGAAAGAAACAGCAUGCAGAAUCAAGACCUUCAGAUGAAAGCAGCCCUAACAGACUUUCUGGAUGUACUUCUUCUUCUCAAUCCCGUAACACUGGUUUUCUGGUCUCAAGAGAUGCAACCUGAUGCAACCUGAUACAACCUGAUGCUCCUAAGCCAUGUUUCAGCUCCCAGCCUGUCUGUGUGUGUACUACUGUCACUGGCAUGAGAUACUUCCACUUGCCAUUGAGACGAGCAUUUACAAUGACAGAGGUGUUCAACAGUGUGAAAACUUGAGAUUUGUUCUUGAAAUUUCCUUUAUAAAGAAUUGUAUUGAAUUAUUGUUCUCCACUGCUUCAGAAUGUGGGUACAUUUCUAUCAGUCUCUGAAAAUUUGCAUGUCAUAACACUGAUAUAACCAGUAGUUUUGUCCCUGGAAUGACUGUAGAAGUACUACUUAUAAUGAGUUGAAAAUAAAUAUAGCAAAGAGACAGUUUGCAAGAGAUCUAAAUUAGGACUUCAGUGCAACAAGAAGAGUGCAUGGAGAUUCAUGAAUUCUUUAGAGAACCAUGUUACUCCAUCUGUGCACAGCUGGGAAUGAAAUCCGUGUAAAGCUGCUUUUACUUCUUUUAGCUCCUUUGGUGGUUUUUGCAAAACUCUCAUUCUUCAUCUAUAUCAAGUUAUAUCAGCUGACAUUCACCUAAGAAUACUUCUGAUCUAGAAAACUGUUACUGUGUUGAAGUCUAAGUAUUUUUCAGUUUGUCACAGUUUUCUUCCUGUUGUAAACAUGCACCAGUGCAAUUUAGUUUCCAGUUCAUUGGGUCAAAAGCCAAUCUUGUUAAUGUAUAUUACUUGCAGUUUGUGGGUAAACAGUAGUCAGAAAUUUUCUUUUCACUUUUAUAUCAGUCAAAAUUAAAUUACUAGAGAGAUUACACUUUUCUGCAACUUUUCUUGGUCACAGUAAUUUUGCUUACAGAUUGUUUUCUCCUUCUUUCAAAUCUAAUUUAAAUUAAUAGCUUCAAAUUAUAAAC
Long non-coding RNA from Passer domesticus (house sparrow), 1382 nucleotides. RefSeq lists it as uncharacterized. Lineage: Eukaryota; Metazoa; Chordata; Aves; Passeriformes; Passeridae. The transcript is spliced from 3 exons. The record is from RefSeq and is a predicted model, not a curated record.